CCGAGUUUACAACUCCCAACCCCUGUGAACCUUACCUAUACGUUGCUUCGGCGGCUUAGCCCCGCCGCUCCCCCGUAAACAGGACGGCCCGCCGAGGACCCCUAAACUCAUGUUUUCAGUGCAGUAAUUCUUCUGAGUGCAAACCAAAAAAUAAAUCA
RNAcentral lists this unclassified non-coding RNA (158 nucleotides) under soil metagenome. Its description in RNAcentral is "partial internal transcribed spacer 1". The record is from RNAcentral.